AGAGACUAAGAGCGUUAACUACAUUCAGAGUUUCUCUGGCCUCUGUUUCCUUUUUCUUGCCAGAGUCUGGGUCUGUAGGGCCAGCAAAAGCCACAAAGAGCCAUGAGCAGUUCCUGGGUAGCAAGUUGGAUGGAGCAGCUGAGACCAUCACGAAAGGCCUUUGCCCUGUCAAAGGACCCGAGAUCCUCUUCAGUUAUGCCCAGUGAAAUUUACCAUUUUCCAUCAGCGAAAUCUACCAUUGCCUCAGCCUUGCCUUUGAAAGAAAUGGAAUUGCUGGAUCACAGGUCUCUGGACUCUGAAGGACUGUUGAAAAUAAUCUCAUGUAAUAUCCACUGAAUAAAAGGAAAGACCAAGUUGUUAGGCCAAUUCUGGCUUUUCUUACUAGAUUUUCAAGUGAUUGCUAGACAGUUGAGGGCAGGAAAG
Molecule: long non-coding RNA, 423 nt
Filed under: Mustela putorius furo (domestic ferret)
Lineage: Eukaryota; Metazoa; Chordata; Mammalia; Carnivora; Mustelidae
Description: lncRNA (ENSMPUG00000031467.1)
Source: RNAcentral